RNAcentral lists this long non-coding RNA (749 nucleotides) under Sus scrofa (pig). RNAcentral describes it as "lncRNA (ENSSSCG00055000438.1)". Lineage: Eukaryota; Metazoa; Chordata; Mammalia; Artiodactyla; Suidae. The record is from RNAcentral.
UCUUGAAGCAAAUGUUAUGGCAAGAGAAUCAGAGACAUGUUUGUAUAUUUGUCCCGCCCAUGGUCAUGGGCACCUGAAGAAAUAAAAGAGCUAUUAGAAUAAAGAAGUGAAUGUUUGUGUGCAAAGACGCCCCACAGGAUCUCCCCCUAUCUGUGACUUGGACCGUGGUCUGCACUUACGUGGGCGGUAAGCCAGAGACAGAAAACAUUUAAGGUCAUUUCAAAGGCAGUGUGCAAACGCAUCCUAAAAUGAACAUCUUCAGUUGAUGAUAUUAAUGCCACAGAGGAAAGUGCUGUGGGACCAACACUGGAAAGAGUAACUGCCGCAGUUUUACAAUUUGAAUGAUGAUGAUAUCAGUGACAACGAUGAAAUUUUGCAUCUCUUUUAAUAGACUAUGAAACAAUGUCACAGACCUUGUCAUUGUCAAAAGCAUCUUAAGGGAGAUGGUAGGGUUGGUCUUUGUGGGAUUUCAAACAGUUUAUGAAACUUUAAGUCUUUGCAGAGCUUUGAGUGGAAUCAAGGUAGGAAAAUCUAGGCCUUGAUCUUCUGGCAAACUGUGUAAUUUAUAAUUUAUAAUUUUAGAGAAAUUGUUGCCUUUCUGUACAAUUGUGUUCAAAAUGAUACAAUUUUAGGUUGAAUUAUUUAAAGUAAGUCGUAUCUUCUUACUCUAGCUAGAUUUGAAAGUUUUACCAUGGAUGUCGUCGACUUAGGAAGAUUUAUAACUGGAAGGAGCUUGACGUAGUUAUAGA